UCAGAGAUGCGUCAUGCAUAUCAAUAAGCGGAGGAAAAGAAACUAACAAGGAUUCCCCUAGUAACGGCGAGUGAAGCGGGAAGAGCUCAAAUUUGAAAUCUUAAAGGGUUUCCCUUUACGAAUUGUAGUUUAAAGAAGUGUUUUCUGUUGAGGUUUUGGUAAAAGUUCUUUGGAAUAGGACAUCAUAGAGGGUGAGAAUCCCGUAUUUGACCUUUACUUUCAACUUUGUGAUACACUUUCAAAGAGUCGGAUUGUUUGGGAAUGCAGUCCAAAAUGGGUGGUAAAUUUCAUCUAAAGCUAAAUAUUGGCGAGAGACCGAUAGCGAACAAGUACCGUGAGGGAAAGAUGAAAAGAACUUUGAAAAGAGAGUUAAACAGUACGUGAAAUUGUCAAAAGGGAAGCGUUUGACACCAGUGUUGUUUUUCUGAAAAUCAAUUAAAGAACUGUUUAUGCUAAGCUGUUUAGACUUUAUCAGCUAAUCUGUUUAGUUUUGAGCUUUUCUUUAAUGCACUUUUCAGUUAACAAGUCAACAUCAAUUUCUUUUGCUGUAAAAAAGCUUGAGGAAGGUGGCUUGAGAUUCGUCUUAAGUGUUUAUAGCCUCUUGCCUAUGCAGUCGGAGAGAUUGAGGUCUGCAGCGUAGAUCCUUCGGGGCUAAAUGCAUUUGUGCUAAGUUAUAGCAUUUUAUAGACAACUUGUUGACUAUGAUUUGUCUUGUAGCUUACUCGCUUAUGUUAUUUUACCUACGCUUAGGAUGUUGACACACGCGCGUGCUCG
Molecule: ribosomal RNA, 774 nt
Filed under: uncultured Neocallimastigales
Lineage: Eukaryota; Fungi; Neocallimastigomycota; Neocallimastigomycetes; Neocallimastigales
Description: partial large subunit ribosomal RNA
Rfam family: Eukaryotic large subunit ribosomal RNA
Source: RNAcentral